This 419-nucleotide long non-coding RNA is filed under the name Monodelphis domestica (gray short-tailed opossum). RNAcentral describes it as "lncRNA (ENSMODG00000042114.1)". The record is from RNAcentral. Lineage: Eukaryota; Metazoa; Chordata; Mammalia; Didelphimorphia; Didelphidae.
UACUACCAUUUCAAUUCCUGACUACAAUCCCUUUCCCCUAGUAGCUCUAUUAUUAUAGGAAUAAGUAGACAAUAUACGACUGCUCCACACCAAUCUCAGUUUUGACCACACUUCAGAUUUUCAAAAUUUGUGACCAAAACCUCUUCAGUCUUCUGGCUUGGCCACCCUCAUUACUUCCUGUGUUCAAGGAAUUUGAUCUCCAGUAAAGAAGACAAAAUCAAAGUACAGGGAAGUAAAUAAUAACUAGGAUAUCAAUAGAGCUUUUAGUUUUGCAUUUCAUCCUUAAAAUAAUGCUAUAACAUUACCAUCCCCAUUAUAGAUAAGAUGGAGAGAAGUUCUGUGACUUGUCUAUGAUCAUACAACUAGUGUCUAGUAUGGUAUUUGAAUUCGGGUCUUGCUGAAAUAAGUGAUCUUCCCAG